Arabidopsis thaliana (thale cress) is the source of this 115-nucleotide small nucleolar RNA. It matches the Rfam family "Small nucleolar RNA snoR9". From Rfam's summary of the family: snoR9 is a member of the C/D class of snoRNA which contain the C (UGAUGA) and D (CUGA) box motifs. Most of the members of the box C/D family function in directing site-specific 2'-O-methylation of substrate RNAs. NCBI's taxonomy places the organism in Eukaryota, Viridiplantae, Streptophyta, Magnoliopsida, Brassicales, Brassicaceae. The record is from Rfam.
AAGAAUGAGGAAGACGAUGAGGAAUUAGAAGUUCUGGUGAUGUGAAAAACUCAGGUGAAGAAGAAGAGAUGAAAAUAUUUGGCCCUAUUUUAUUGUCCUUUAAUGAUGCUGACAU